CCCGCAACGAGCGCAACCCUUAUCCUUUGUUGCCAGCACUACGGGUGGGAACUCAAAGGAGACUGGCGGUGAUAAACCGGAAGAAGGGGGGGAUGACGUCAAGUCAUCAUGGGCCUUACGAGUAGGGCUACACACGUGCUACAAUGGCGUAUACAAAGAGAAGCAAACUCGCGAGAGCCAGCGGACCUCAUAAAGUACGUCGUAGUCCGGAUUGGAGUCUGCAACUCGACUCCAUGAAGUCGGAAUCGCUAGUAAUCGUAGAUCAGAAUGCUACGGUGAAUACGUU
RNAcentral lists this ribosomal RNA (286 nucleotides) under Rahnella aquatilis. RNAcentral's name for it is "partial 16S ribosomal RNA". It matches the Rfam family "Bacterial small subunit ribosomal RNA", at positions 1086 to 1372 of the family's 1533-position model. Lineage: Bacteria; Pseudomonadati; Pseudomonadota; Gammaproteobacteria; Enterobacterales; Yersiniaceae. The record is from RNAcentral.